CCGGAAGCAACGCCUAGGACAGGUUGUCUCCACCAUGGCCUGGGCUCUAAUCCUCUUCACUCUGUUUGCUCACUGCACAGGGUCUUGGAUCCAGGUUGUGUUUACGCAGCCUCAGUCUGUGUCAGGGUCUCCAGGGCAGAAGGUCACCAUCUCCUGCACCCGCAGCAGCGGCAACAUUGGGGGCAAUUAUGUGCACUGGAACCAGCAGCGCCCGGGCGGCACCCCCACCACUGUGAUCUAUAGAGAUAACCAAAGACCCUCUGGGGUUCCAGAUCGGUUCUCAGGCUCCAUCCACAGCUCCUCCAACUCGGCCUCCCUGACCAUCUCUGAUCUGCAGACUGAGGACGAGGCCAACUAUUACUGUCUGUCUAGUUAUGAUAACUAUUAUCACACAGUGCUCUAG
This is a non-coding RNA of Nycticebus coucang (slow loris), 403 nucleotides long. Lineage: Eukaryota; Metazoa; Chordata; Mammalia; Primates; Lorisidae. The record is from the annotation of a RefSeq genome assembly.